This is a Y RNA of Callithrix jacchus (white-tufted-ear marmoset), 96 nucleotides long. It matches the Rfam family "Y RNA". From Rfam's summary of the family: Y RNAs are components of the Ro ribonucleoprotein particle (Ro RNP), in association with Ro60 and La proteins. The Y RNAs and Ro60 and La proteins are well conserved, but the function of the Ro RNP is not known. Lineage: Eukaryota; Metazoa; Chordata; Mammalia; Primates; Cebidae. The record is from Ensembl.
GGUUGUUCUGAUGGGAGUGGGUUAUCAGAACUUAUUAACAUUAGUGUUACUAAAGUUGGUAUACAGCCCCCCACUGCUAAAUUUGACUGGCUUUUA